This is a long non-coding RNA of Eurytemora carolleeae, 205 nucleotides long. RefSeq lists it as uncharacterized. The record is from RefSeq and is a predicted model, not a curated record. The transcript has 4 exons. Lineage: Eukaryota; Metazoa; Arthropoda; Copepoda; Calanoida; Temoridae.
AGAAAGAAGAUUGAGAAGAAUUGUGAAGAGAAAGUUGAAAAUACUCUGGGAACUUUCUUCUUGUCUAAAGCUGAAGAGUUAACCGGCGGCGGAGCAGGAUUUUGUGAGGAAUACAGAAGCUGCAAAAGCAUUAAGGAUUUGAUGAAGUUUGCAAAUAUUGCAGAAGGUUUUAGCAAACAACUAUUCGCAGAGGAAUAUAUGCAAA